GCUGAGGUAGCGAAGCGGUCAAACGCAACAGACUGUAAAUCUGUCGGCCUUGUGCCUUCGCAGGUUCGAAUCCUGCCCUCAGCACCA
This 87-nucleotide transfer RNA is filed under the name bacterium ADurb.Bin212. Its description in RNAcentral is "tRNA-Tyr". It matches the Rfam family "tRNA". Rfam says of the family: Transfer RNA (tRNA) molecules are approximately 80 nucleotides in length. Their secondary structure includes four short double-helical elements and three loops (D, anti-codon, and T loops). The record is from RNAcentral.